GCAAGUCGAACGAGUACGAUUUUAAGCUUGCUUAGAUGAGUCGAGUAGGCAAACGGGUGAGUAACGCGUAGACAACCUGCCGCAAAGAUGGGGACAACAGUCCGAAAGGACUGCUAAUACCGAAUGUUGUCAGAUUCCCGCAUGGGAGACUGAUUAAAGAUGGCCUCUACUUGUAAGCUAUCGCUUUGCGAUGGGUCUGCGUCUGAUUAGCUAGUUGGUGGGUAACGGCCUACCAAGGCGACGAUCAGUAGCCGGUCUGAGAGGAUGAACGGCCACAUUGGAACUGAGACACGGUCCAGACUCCUACGGGAGGCAGCAGUGGGGAAUCUUCCGCAAUGGGCGAAAGCCUGACGGAGCAACGCCGCGUGAGUGAAGAAGGGUUUCGGCUCGUAAAGCUCUGUUGACGGGGACGAAUGUGCGGAAUGCGAAUAGUUUUUCGCAAUGACGGUACCCGUCGAGGAAGCCACGGCUAACUACGUGCC
RNAcentral lists this ribosomal RNA (482 nucleotides) under uncultured bacterium. RNAcentral's name for it is "bacterial SSU rRNA". It matches the Rfam family "Bacterial small subunit ribosomal RNA", at positions 57 to 509 of the family's 1533-position model. The record is from RNAcentral.